UCAUCAAUACCUGAUAUAACCACAUGUGAAAGGGAUUAAUUUAGGAGACCUUUGUCAUUCACAACAAUACAGAAUUACAUUCACAAAUGUCACUUAAAAACUUUACUGUGCAUAAAAGAAGGCUUAUGUUAACCUUGUCCAGAAUUUGCAUUGACUUCUCUGGGCUCUGAUACGUCUGGGUUGGACGAC
Thalassophryne amazonica is the source of this 189-nucleotide long non-coding RNA. RefSeq lists it as uncharacterized. Lineage: Eukaryota; Metazoa; Chordata; Actinopteri; Batrachoidiformes; Batrachoididae. The transcript is spliced from 3 exons. The record is from RefSeq and is a predicted model, not a curated record.